GUUCCUACGGGACGCAGCAGUGAGGAAUAUUGGUCAAUGGCCGGAAGGCUGAACCAGCCAAGUCGCGUGAGGGAAUAAGGCCCUAUGGGUCGUAAACCUCUUUUGUCAGGGAGCAAAGUCACCCACGUGUGGGUGUUGGAGAGUACCUGAAGAAAAAGCAUCGGCUAACUCCGUGCCAGCAGCCGCGGUAAUACGGAGGAUGCGAGCGUUAUCCGGAUUUAUUGGGUUUAAAGGGUGCGUAGGCGGGUUAUCAAGUCAGCGGUAAAAUCGUGGAGCUCAACUCCAUCCAGCCGUUGAAACUGAUG
Molecule: ribosomal RNA, 305 nt
Filed under: uncultured bacterium
Lineage: Bacteria
Description: bacterial SSU rRNA
Rfam family: Bacterial small subunit ribosomal RNA
Source: RNAcentral